This 468-nucleotide ribosomal RNA is filed under the name uncultured bacterium. RNAcentral describes it as "partial 16S ribosomal RNA". It matches the Rfam family "Bacterial small subunit ribosomal RNA", at positions 28 to 507 of the family's 1533-position model. The record is from RNAcentral.
GACGAACGCUGGCGGCGUGCUUAACACAUGCAAGUCGAACGGAAAGGCCCUGCUUUUGUGGGGUGCUCGAGUGGCGAACGGGUGAGUAACACGUGAGUAACCUGCCCUUGACUUUGGGAUAACUUCAGGAAACUGGGGCUAAUACCGGAUAGGAGCUCCUGCUGCAUGGUGGGGGUUGGAAAGUUUCGGCGGUUGGGGAUGGACUCGCGGCUUAUCAGCUUGUUGGUGGGGUAGUGGCUUACCAAGGCUUUGACGGGUAGCCGGCCUGAGAGGGUGACCGGCCAAAAUGGGACUGAGGAACGGGCCAGACUUCUAAGGGAGGCAGGAGGGGGGAAUAUUGCACAAUGGGCGGAAGCCUGAUGCAGCAACGCCGCGUGCGGGAUGACGGCCUUCGGGUUGUAAACCGCUUUCGCCUGUGACGAAGCGUGAGUGACGGUAAUGGGUAAAGAAGCACCGGCUAACUACGUG